CAGUCGCCGCGGUAAUACGGAGGGUGCAAGCGUUAAUCGGAAUUACUGGGCGUAAAGCGCACGCAGGCGGUCUGACAAGUCAGAUGUGAAAUCCCCGGGCUUAACCUGGGAACUGCAUUUGAAACUGUCAGGCUGGAGUCUUGUAGAGGGGGGUGGAAUUCCAGGUGUAGCGGUGAAAUGCGUAGAGAUCUGGAGGAAUACCGGUGGCGAAGGCGGCCCCCUGGACAAAGACUGACUCUCAGGUGCGAAAGCGUGGGGAGCAAACAGGAUUAGAUACCCCUGUAGUCCCUGUCUCUUAUAC
RNAcentral lists this ribosomal RNA (301 nucleotides) under uncultured bacterium. RNAcentral's name for it is "partial 16S ribosomal RNA". It matches the Rfam family "Bacterial small subunit ribosomal RNA", at positions 509 to 807 of the family's 1533-position model. The record is from RNAcentral.